This 429-nucleotide ribosomal RNA is filed under the name Chloroflexota bacterium. RNAcentral's name for it is "Chloroflexi bacterium partial 16S ribosomal RNA". It matches the Rfam family "Bacterial small subunit ribosomal RNA", at positions 355 to 776 of the family's 1533-position model. The record is from RNAcentral. Lineage: Bacteria; Bacillati; Chloroflexota.
UGGGGAAUAUUGCACAAUGGGCGCAAGCCUGAUGCAGCCAUGCCGCGUGUAUGAAGAAGGCCUUCGGGUUGUAAAGUACUUUCAGCGGGGAGGAAGGGAGUAAAGUUAAUACCUUUGCUCAUUGACGUUACCCGCAGAAGAAGCACCGGCUAACUCCGUGCCAGCAGCCGCGGUAAUACGGAGGGUGCAAGCGUUAAUCGGAAUUACUGGGCGUAAAGCGCACGCAGGCGGUUUGUUAAAUCAGAUGUGAAAUCCCCGGGCUCAACCUGGGAAAUGCAUGUUAUACUGGCAAGGUUGGGUUUCGUAGAGGGGGGUAGGAAUCCAGGUGUGGCGGGGAAAUGCCUAGGGAUCUGGGGGAAUAACGGUUGCGGAGGCGGCCCCCUAGAAGAAGGAGGAAGCUCAGGUGGCAAAACGUGGGGAGCAAACAGG